GGGAAGAUCAACAAGGCAGUAUUACUGAAACAGAGGGCUCCUUCUCAUUUCUCCUCCCACCUCUUCUCCUCCUCAGCAUUUUUGAUCAAGGAUUGCUCUUUUCUAACUGUUGUUCUUUCUUAAUUCUGUUAAAAGGUACCACAUUUGACUGCAUGGCCUGGCAGCACCUCUGGAGAAGCCUACGUCCCUAGACAUCCACACCGCUACAGCCUGCUCCUGUACAUUAAGCCAUCUAGACCUCUCUGGCACUUUGCCACUUGUCAGAUUGGAGAAGAGCAGAACAGAGACUUGGAGGAAACCUGUUUUGUCCUGUGGUCAACACAACUCCUUCCAAUCACCUCUUUUUUCUUCCAGGAAGAGCCAGCUCUUAUAUUAGUCACAGCUGGUAUGUCACGGGAUCCUUGGGGGACUGCCUCUCCUGAGCUGUGACUGCUGUGUUUGGAUUCUGCUAAAAGCUGUAAACAUGAAACCCAAGUAUUUGAUUGUGCAAAGGGGCAGUAUGGAUCCGUGACUCACCACGGUCACAGAACUGUGGCACUGUGGCUCCCCUGGCAGCAGCAGGUAGGUUCCUGCACCCCCGAAGGCAGCGCCAAGUGACGGGGGAAAGAGGCAAAGGUGCAAUCAGUGCUGUUGACUUACACAGGAGGUGAUAUCUGCAUGGUGCAGGAGGUGACACCAGCUUCCAGCACACUCCCACCCAGGGAAUGGACAUGCAGGAGGUUGUAUUUGGCUUUUAUUGCGUGACUCAAUGUGCCCCACCUGUCCGGGAGCUCUGGAGCAGGUUUCCAUGGCUGGAUGCACCUCCUUGGCUGGGUGUACUUCUUCACGGGACAUAUAUUGUUUCAGUGCACUGCCAGUCGCAGCAGGUAACCGUGGAUGUUUUACUGCUGCCAACACUGGAUCACUUGGCAAGGCGCCGCCUUCCCUCGCCUUUCUUCUCUCUGGCCAAGCAGAUGCGAGCCAACAGGCAGAAUAUGACUUUUUCUUUCUUUCUCCAGAUGCUUUGCACUCAGAUGGCUGUUUCCCUCAGCGGCCCCUCCUCUCCCCAGUCUGAGCACAUGCCUACGUGCAGCUAUUCCAGCCUCACCACAGCAAGGUUUUCUGCUAUUGUGAAGGAGAAAAAGAGCAGGAGACCCAGGAAGCUAAUGACAGAGGGCCAGUCAUGGAGCCAAAGCAAAGGAAGAGGCAUGAAAAGCCACAAAAGCAGAACACAACUGUAGGCAAUACCAAAUCCAACUUGUCUUGUCCACAAGGUUCUUCCUAGUAGUUUAAUGCUUACAGUGACUGAGGCUGAAAUUCACUGACUACUUUAACCUGGUAUAAGGCAACGUUCUUGCUAAAAGGAGCUGGUUUUGCGCUUGUUGGCAGGUGCAGUUUCCUUCCUCUCGUGCAGCCAGCAAGAACGGAAAAGCCGGAACAGAAGAGAGAUAUCCGGAAAACGUGAAAGGUACUUUGUUCAAAAUCAAGAUCAAAUUCUGACCAGCUUGGAAUGAGAAAAAUGGCUUCUUCUACAUGUCUCUCACCCAAUUAAAAUGGGGCAUAAGGCCUGGCUUGCCAAAUUUUGUUUACAUUUUCAUUAUAAAUUUGUUUGAAAGAAGCUUUUCUCACAGUUUCCCUCUGUGAAAAGAGCACAGGACUGACAUGCAGUCUUGUGCCACUGGAUCUAAAAGUGUAGUCAAUGGUCCUCACAGAAAUAAAGCUGAAGGCAGGAAUGAAUGAACA
Molecule: long non-coding RNA, 1722 nt
Filed under: Calidris pugnax (ruff)
Lineage: Eukaryota; Metazoa; Chordata; Aves; Charadriiformes; Scolopacidae
Description: lncRNA (ENSCPUG00000003664.1)
Source: RNAcentral